AAAAAAAAAAAAAAAAAAAAAGGAAAGAAAAAAAAACUUCUGAUGGAUUUCUGUUUGCUUCUUUGAGACAUGGAAAACAUCACAAAUCUCCAAUAGGAAUGCUGCAUUGACCCAGAUAUCUGCCCACCAAUCUUAGAGUUUUAUCAAUGCAACUAUGUACACUGGACUUGGUUGUAAAGAACUCCUAUUCAUAGCUGUCCCCCCCAAGAGAGACAGCUCAAAACAUAUUUACCUCGAUUAGUAGACAGUUGUAUUAACGGAUUCCCACAGCUAAAAAACAGAAAAAAAAAAAUUUCUCAGACCCAACUAUAGUAUUUAUGUUCAAUCAAUAAUUUCCAGGCCAACCAGAUUAUACUAAAGAGAAGGUUUGGAGGGAUGUAUAAAAUGUAUAUUUUUUAAAAUCAGGGACAUUCACUCUCACACUUGAACCUAUAUUGAAAAUUAUUAUUAUUAUUAUUAUUAUUAUUAUUAUCGUUGUUGUUUUGAUGACAGGAAUGGAAAUGUUUGUAAUUUAAUGACAGCCAUUUGAAAACAUUAUAAAUUAUUAAUUUAUAUUUUAGAAAAAAAAAAAAUUAUUUGUUUUGCUUUUACCAAUUAUAAUUAAGGUAGAAAUCAAAACAAAUAAAUUCUGUGCAAUGUGUAUUCCUGAUAAAUAUAUAAGCUUCUUUAUACAAAGAAAAAAAAAAGUUAAUUUCAAAUGGACAUAUUAAAAUGAAAAGGAAAUGAUAGAAUAUUGUCACAUUGAGCAGAAUGUGAUAUAAAAUAAGAACAUAAAUUAUAUAUAUAUAUAUAUAAAUGUACAAGCUAGAACUAUUGGCUAGAAGUACCGAUACAAGCAUUAUAUGAAUGAGAAAUAUUGAUAUGGGUAUGAUAUCAAAAUGGAAUAUUGAUAAAAGAAUCAAAAGACAAACACACACAACAAGUAUGAAAUUGAAUUAUGUCUUAAACAAAGAAGACUUGUCGAAAUAAAAAAGAUAAGAUAAUUGUAUGUGAAGUAGUAAUGAAACAAUAAUUUGAUGAAAAUUUCACUGGACACAUUACAUGAGUCAUAAAUAUGGUGUUGUCUCUAUAGUUUCAAUUGAUGGACUGCUUGAGAUGAUAUAUACAGAUAUUUGUUCAUGUGUAAUAUGCGUAUAUAUGUGUAUGUGAAAAAAAAAAAAAAAAAAAAAUCAAUCAUUCAUGUAGUGUUCGAUCACUUUAAGACAUCUAAGAGACGGUAAUUGAUGUUAUAAAGA
Octopus bimaculoides (California two-spot octopus) is the source of this 1235-nucleotide long non-coding RNA. The record is from RefSeq and is a predicted model, not a curated record. Lineage: Eukaryota; Metazoa; Mollusca; Cephalopoda; Octopoda; Octopodidae.